UAUGAUGCUACCACUUGAUAUUGCCUAAAAGAAUGACUCCUUGAUUAAAUGAAUGGGUUAUGUGAAAAAUGUUUUAAUUUGGAUUAAAGGAGGUUGUGUAGCUAAUCCAUGAAAGUAGAGGUCCCGAAGGACCACCAUUAAAAACCGCAUUUGCCAGCGCGGGUGUCAAAAUGACCGGGUAUUCGAGUCACCCUUGCUUUAUGAUCGGAUGUAUAUGUCACCCUUGAUAUAUGGUUGGGAGGUUCGAGGCCUCUAUGCAUAUAUGUUAUGAUUAUUCCCUGGUUCGUGUGCCUACACACCCUAUGGCCCUACCAAGGGGUAAGAGAUGGGGCCUAUAUAUCCCGUGGAUACUAUUAUGACGGUUACGCUACACAACCCAGGAUAAUAUUUUAUGUUCUUGCUAAGAAUUUUUCCCUAUCCCAGCAUGUUAUAAAUAUAU
Molecule: long non-coding RNA, 439 nt
Filed under: Capsicum annuum
Lineage: Eukaryota; Viridiplantae; Streptophyta; Magnoliopsida; Solanales; Solanaceae
Description: long non-coding RNA (CANN_LNC016263)
Source: RNAcentral